This 423-nucleotide ribosomal RNA is filed under the name uncultured bacterium. Its description in RNAcentral is "bacterial SSU rRNA". It matches the Rfam family "Bacterial small subunit ribosomal RNA", at positions 207 to 622 of the family's 1533-position model. The record is from RNAcentral.
AAGACCUUGCACUUUUGGAGCGGCCGAUGUCUGAUUAGCUAGUUGGUGGGGUAAUGGCCUACCAAAGCUUCGAUCAGUAGCUGGUCUGAGGGGACGGCCAGCCACACUGGGACUGAGACACGGCCCAGACUCCUACGGGAGGCAGCAGUGGGGAAUUUUGGACAAUGGGCGCAAGCCUGAUCCAGCCAUGCCGCGUGAGUGAAGAAGGCCUUCGGGCUGUAAAGCUCUUUCAGCCGGGAAGAAAAGGUUGCGACUAAUAAUCGCAAUCCAUGACGGUACCGAAAGAAGAAGCACCGGCUAACUACGUGCCAGCAGCCGCGGUAAUACGUAGGGUGCGAGCGUUAAUCGGAAUUACUGGGCGUAAAGGGUGCGCAGGCGGUUUUGUAAGUCAGAUGUGAAAUCCCCGGGCUUAACCUGGGAACU